Topomyia yanbarensis is the source of this 414-nucleotide long non-coding RNA. RefSeq lists it as uncharacterized. The transcript has 3 exons. The record is from RefSeq and is a predicted model, not a curated record. NCBI's taxonomy places the organism in Eukaryota, Metazoa, Arthropoda, Insecta, Diptera, Culicidae.
ACCUGACGUUUCUCACGUCAGCUACAAAACGUCACACCAAUGUCAUGGGAGCAUAUCGUUAUGCUCAAUGUUUAUUUAGUGACGAAAGUGCUAAAAGUGUAAUUUCAGUGCAAUAAUCGUUGAAAUCGGCCAAAUUUUCAACGAAAAUCGAGGACAUAACCAGUGGUGGUAUUUUGCUGCCAGGAUGCAAUUUUUCUGCGAAAGAUUGACCUGCAGUAACCAUCAAAUCUUCCCGGGAUCAACCAUGAAGCCAUCUUGACUUGCAAGAUGCACUACAGAUAUGGCCAAUUUUACCUAGUGAGCCAUCCACUCAUCGCAUCUCCACCGUCGGCGCUCGGAUGGAAGGCAAAACAUUUAACCCCUCCAUCGUUCCCCGGAUCGGCCAGUGCGACUAUGGAUACCCGUGGUAAAAUA